GCAGCCACGUGCCUCUUCUCCCCAGUGAUGGUGAGAAUCCGCUGGGGAUUCUGGGAAAGUUUUCUUUUUCCUGAUAAAGGAGCAGGAGAGGCUGGUGCCACCUCUCUCCCGUGCUUCCUGUCUUGAGAUUCCUAGACAUCCCAGGUGAUCCUAGGACCAGGAGGCAGAAGCCAAAGUUUGGUGCUGCGCUCCCAGAACUGACUCACUGAAGGUUUGCUGUCGGACUGGUCCACACUGUAUGUCUUCUGAAGGCUUGUUUCCAGUCUAAGAAUUCUGAGCUGAGGGAUGUUCUUUCUCCCUGACAGCCUCCACUGAGCCUGGAAGAGGAGAGCUAGACAAAGGCCUGAAAGAGCGCCUGGCACCUAGUAGGAGCUCAAUAAAUGCUGAAUGACUACAGAAGCACCAACCGCUCCAACAGACACUUGAGGUGUGGAAGUGAACUGAAAGCAGGAUCUGGACCUCACGAAGCUUUGGAUUCGUAACACAGAAACAACACAAGUAAAUAGCAAAAGAACAAAACCAAGAUAAUAAAAAAUUGUAA
Long non-coding RNA from Bubalus bubalis (water buffalo), 541 nucleotides. RefSeq lists it as uncharacterized. The transcript is spliced from 3 exons. Lineage: Eukaryota; Metazoa; Chordata; Mammalia; Artiodactyla; Bovidae. The record is from RefSeq and is a predicted model, not a curated record.